RNAcentral lists this long non-coding RNA (4990 nucleotides) under Sus scrofa (pig). RNAcentral's name for it is "lncRNA (ENSSSCG00025050243.1)". The record is from RNAcentral. Lineage: Eukaryota; Metazoa; Chordata; Mammalia; Artiodactyla; Suidae.
UUUUUUUUUCUUUUCAGGGCCACACCUGCAGCACAUGGAUGUUCCCGGGCCAGCGGUGGAAUCGGAGCUGCAGCUGCCAGCCUCUGCCACAGCCAGGCAGGAUCCAAGCCGUGCCUCUGACCUAUGCUGCAGCUUGCGGCAACGAUGGAUCCUUAACCCACCGAGCGAGGCCAGGAGUCAAACCCACGUCCUCACAGAGGCGUCAGGUCCUUAACCCACCGAGCCACGACGGGAACUCCUGGAAAGGAAACCUUAACGAUGCAGGAGAAACUGGUGACCCACCAGGUCAAUGCGGUUAUGUUCAGCGUGCCGUGCCACCAGCAGCGACUGGCGCAGGAGGCCCGCGACACCACAGCGGUUUGGGUAGACUUUUGUCCCAUCUACGGAGGAUGGCACUGAGGACUGGUUGUCACACGCCCUGUAAGACAGAGCAGGUGCCAAAGAAACUGGUAAGUGACGCGUUUGGUAAUUAAGCGCUACGUGGUCAUUAGUGAAGGCAUACUCCCUGUCUGCCCUGCAGUGUAUUGACGCCCUGGCAGAGGCAGGGCGCCCAGUGGGACACAGGGGAGGCAUUCGACUGAGUCCCAGACUCGGGCAAGCAGCCGAGGAGAGGCCUCGUGACGGGUCCUUCAAGAUGCCCAAGUUACACAGCUGAAGGGGGCGGAGACCUCACCUACGAAUGAAACCCACGCCAGGGUGUGGAGGAGAUCACGGUGCCAAACGGAGUGGCCCAGCCGGUGACAAUGCCUUCAGUUCAAAUUUCAGGAACUCGAACCCCACGUAAGCUACUCCGGGGGUGAGGCAAGGUGGGCUGGGGGUCUUCUCCAUGGAAGACCUCAAUGCCGACAAACUCACCACUUCCCACAGCCCAGGAUUCUUGGAAGCAAGAAGUUCUGUUUCGAGGGAAAUUCGAUGCUAAAAAUUAACACCCCACUGAGGGAGUUCCCACUGUGUCUCUAGAGGUUAAGGACCAGACAUUGUCUCUGUCAGGAUGGAGGUCGAUCCCUGGCCUCGCCCAGUGGGUUCAGGAUCGGGUGUUGCUGUGGUGUAGGCCAGCAGUUGCAGCUCCAAUUCGAUCCCUAGCCCGGGAACUUCCACAUGCUGCAUAUCCUAAAAAUUAAAAAAAAAUUUUUUUAAACCACUGAGGACUUCUCCGGAGGGUUCUUGGAGAACCAAGGGCAUCAGCAAAGGGCGAGCUUGAGCGCUGUCUGACGCAGGGAUGCCUGGAGCAAAGGCUUGUUUAAGAACUCCCCUAGAGAAAGCAGGCGUCUUUCAGUUUCCCGCUCCUGCCAGGAGAGCCUGAGGCACCUUGUAAGGCAGUGACUCGUUCCUGUGCUUGGAUCCCAAACCCCGGAGAGGUCAGGGGGCGUUUCUCUCCAGCUCACCCACCGCUGCACCAGCUCUUGGCCCCCCCGCAGCCUGCAGCGAGGGACAGAGCCGCUGGCCAGAGUUAGCCAUCCCACCGACAGAAGUUCUAAGUUGCCAGUCAGUAAAUGUAAUUGCAUUAAAAUCUAAGGUUUCUUUUUUGUUUUUAAUCCUCUGCUAACUGCCCCGCAGAAACAGAUGUUGUUAUUCUGAGCCUGGCAAAUUACUGGAGUGACCUAACCGUGCCUCCGGUGCCAGCUCGGGGUGUGGAGGGUUUGAAGGCACUGCUCUGUUCCCCUUUCUUCUUUUGAUUAAAACGAUGUGCCAGAAACCAGAGAGAAAUCAGAGAUCACAGCCUUCCAGAACUCUCUGCAGGAGCAAAGACGUUUCUGUGCAUAGCUGAAGAGCAGGGCGCAGUCUUCUGGAUGCCACCUGAGCUGCUUGCCCGCGGCCAGGGAGGGCCGGAACCCAGCGCUGGGGCGUCAGGUGUCAUUUUCAACCAAGUCUCUGGUGGCAGAUGGAACGCCUCCAAGUAUUCCCCACUUGGUCUUCUCUUGGAACCCACGGCAGCCCUCCCACCCACUGCUGUAUCCCCCCGUUCACAAGAUGCAUGCAGAGUGUUUUUCUACCAAAAGAAACCAUUAGCCAUGCAAGCUCGCAUGAUGGGAACUGGCCGCUGACCGCUCGGUGGGAAGGGGGGCUUUAGGGAGCAGUACGGACCGCGGUGAGCUGGUAAAUUUCCCAUUUGAGCUGAGCCACCGCUACCCAGCUGGAGCCAAUCUUGGUUUCAUGGGCCUGGCAAGUAGGCAGCUUUCUUCUUCCUUUUUAGGGCUGUACCUGCGGCAUAUGGAAGUUCCCAGGCCAGGGGUCAAAUUCAAGCUGCAGCUAUGCCCUACGCUGCAGUCUGUGGCAGCACCAGACCCUUCAUCCACUGAGGCAGGCCAGGAAUCAAACCAGCAUCAUCACGGCCAUGCCAGAUCCUGAACCUACUGAGAGGGGCCAGGGAACGAACCUGCAUCCUCAGGGAUACUGGUCAGGUUCGUUACCGCUAAGGCAUGAUAGGAACUCGGAGACUGUCCCCACUUCACAUGCCAACUGCAAGUCCAGGCUGUCCCCUAUGCUGCUGACGGACUGGCUGGCUUCAACCAGAGGUUCCCACGAGCCCUUCCUCACUCCAUAGGCACGGCUGACCCAAGCUUCGGCCCCUCUCCCCUCCCCAGUGGUCAGGGGAUGGGACUGAAAUUUCCAACCUCCUGAUCACCCGUCUGCCCCCUCCGGCCACCAGCAACACCCCCCCCAAAUCUUCAAGGACCUCAUGAACGUAACGAAAGGUGCCUUUCUAGCUCUCAUCACUUUGGAAGUUCCAAGAAUUCUGGAGCCCUUUGCCAGGGACAGGGACAAACCCAAAACAUGUAUUUCCUAUGAUAAAUCACCGCAUCGCGCCUUCAUUCUGUCUUUACCCGAACACACAAGGGUACCAUACGUUCCUCAAAAUACUAAGUAUGGCCGGUAACUGGCUGGGUUCCCGGAGUCCUCACCGGAUGCGCACCCAGAACGGCUGAAGGGCUGGCUUCGUGACGGAUCCUCUUCUGCUGCCCCGGAAUGACAGGGGACGGCGGUUCCGGCGUCCAUCGCGGAUCCCGUCCAGAACCGCAGGGUCCUUUUGCUGCUAAGUCUCGCGCUUCGCUCCCCUCUGCCGUCUAGAGGCUCGGGUGUUUGCUUUUUUUUCCUGAAAUGCUGUCUCCUCUGGGCCCAUUUCCAUCUGCCAAUGCAACCGAGCAGGAUCCCGGGGCUCCUGGGCACAGAAGCCUCCCUGCACCCUCCGUGUGCUUGUCUGGAGCAAACAGGUCUCCUUCAGCCUCCGUGACCUCCCCCGAGCUCCGAAGGGCAGGUUCACGACGUUGCUCAUCAAGGCAGAGAGGGGAUGCCCAGCCCGGGGAGCAACAGCGGAGAAACAAGCGUGCAGCCUUGGGGCAGGGUCCUGGCUCCCCCUCAAGGUCAAGGAAUACCCGGAACAGCAUCUCCGAAGGCUUCUGCAGAACCGAAACCGCAACCACUGGAAGAUGUUACCUGCUUAAUGAAGCCUUCCUCAUUCCAGAGAAGGUCACCACCAAAGCAGUCCCGGGCCGCUCAACACCAACUCUGCAACACUCAAGCGUGCGUCUGUCCAGAUCCAGAUCCUCAUCCGCCGCCCUAUUUUCCACACCCGACCUCCAAGACCUCGUCCUGGUCUCUCCCGAAGGAGGGCACUGCCUUCAGGGCAUUGACCUGCCACGGGCUCCUUGGCCUGGCCAAGCUAUAAAAGCUCUCUUUCCUUCUUCACCCCAAACCGUAUCUCUGAGGCUGAGUCUCAUUACCACCACAUGUCUUUACGCCCCUAAAACUCAAUGGGCUCCGUAUCCAGUCCCUACCCUCCCAGGCGCAAUCUCAGUCCCUCUGCAGAUUCAUCCCCGGCUCAGUCACGAUCAGAAGGACGGGGAGUCAGAAAGACACGCUGAAAAUCAAAUGCCCUCUGCAGGGGUGUCUAUGCCCCUAAUCCUACCAGCUAACACACCCGACACCCAUCACCAUUCAAAUCAAAGUCCUCAUGUGCAACAAAGUUCUAUGGAAGUUAUUUUCAGAUUUUAGCAAUUUGGGCAAGAAGGCUCAUGUUUGGGCAAAGUUACUACAUAAUCCAGAGAGUCCUAAUGAGCUGAGGGAGGGUAGAAUGAAGAUGACACUCGGGAUAUAAAAACUCAAAUUAUCAGUGGAAAUAGGGAGUUCUCACGGUGGCUCAGUGGUUAACGAAUCCGACUAGGAACCAUGAGGGUGCGGGUUCGAUCCCUGGCCUUGCUCAGUGGGUUAAGGAUCCGGUGUUGCCGUGAGCUGUGGUGUAGGUCACAGACACAGCUCGGAUCCAGCGUUGCUGUGGCUCUGUGUAGGCGGGGGGCUACAGCUCUGAUUGGACCCCUAGAGCCUGGGAACCUCCAUAUGCCUCGGGUGCAGCCUUAGAAAAGACCAAAAAAAAAAAAUUAUCCGUGGAAAUAGCCAGCUCCGAUGCGGCAGCGUCUUAUUCAUGAGAUGAUGCCACUCUUUCAAAUUCUUCGCUCAAACACCAGGCCUACUGAGUAAUUCACACAUUUGUACAUUUUACUCCAAAUAUUAUGACCUCAUUGCUCAUCAAAGGCCCUGACAUCACUUUAUACGGAACAGAAAAAUAGAGGUGAACGCUGGGCAACACAAGGGUUACAGGAAUUCUCAACGUUAUGAAUACGUCUAAAGACAAUCACAAAAUCAACAUCCAGGCGGAACCCCAGGAAGGAGUAGUUCCAGUCGCAGGCAGAGCUGAGCAGGAGUCCCACAGAACACAUCACCCAUCGGGCCUGUCCAGACCAGCUUCUCUGGGUCUAACCUACUUUUUCUGGCUUCUUUAUUCUCUGGAGCGUCUUUUGAACUGCACCCCCGUUUUGGAAAAUUCUCAGCGUUUCAAGGCUGCCUAAGGAACCACCAGCAAAUUCCCUGAGACGCGGCCUGAAGGAUCACUGCUCAAACUGGGAGAAGGCAGAACGUGCACUCAACACGAUUCAGAUUUCGAAGCGCCCUGCUCCCCAGCUCCCAGGGAAGACAGAGGAAGGCGAGAGCCGAA